RNAcentral lists this long non-coding RNA (199 nucleotides) under Elaeis guineensis (African oil palm). RNAcentral's name for it is "long non-coding RNA (EGUI_LNC037810)". The record is from RNAcentral. Lineage: Eukaryota; Viridiplantae; Streptophyta; Magnoliopsida; Arecales; Arecaceae.
CGUGCAAUAAAUUUAUCGUGGUACGCUUUAGUUCGAGCCUUAUAAAUUCUAGCACUCUCAUACGCUCAUUGCGUAGCUCUUCAAGUUCAUUUAGUUGAAGUCUCCUAUUGGAACCUGCAUUUUUCAUAUCAAAGUUAAAUUGCCGUAUGGCCCAAAAUGCACGAUGUUCCAAUUCCACCAGCAGAUGACAAGCUUUUCC